CCAAAGGGAAAAAACUGAAGUUCUAAAUUGUCUAUGACUUUAAUUUCCACUGUUGUCCUAAAGAAAUUGGAACUUGUAAGGUCUUUCAAAACCAAAUUUCACAUUUGUAACAGAUACUGUUUUUUUUUUUAAACCAAUAACUGAAAACAAUUUGAAUAAUGUAUUAAAAUACUUUUUAAACAACAUAAUUUACUUGGAAAUUCUAUUAUCUCUCUGCUUUUCUUUGAGACUAAUCAGCUUUUAAAUAAGAUCCACCAUAAAUGCUAAUUUAGUUGGGGAAAAACACUGUAACUAAAUAUUCAUUUUUGUGUCAAAAACACACUCAAUUUUUUUUUCUGACAGAAAAAUGUCCAUUUUUGCUUGACUUGAAAUAGUAAAAUUAAGAGAAAAGCAAAUGACCAUUAUUC
This 407-nucleotide long non-coding RNA is filed under the name Bos taurus (domestic cattle). RNAcentral's name for it is "long non-coding RNA NONBTAT000956". Lineage: Eukaryota; Metazoa; Chordata; Mammalia; Artiodactyla; Bovidae. The record is from RNAcentral.